ACUUAAAUUGAAGAGUUUGAUCAUGGCUCAGAUUGAACGCUGGCGGCAGGCCUAACACAUGCAAGUCGAGCGGUAGCACAGAGAGCUUGCUCUCGGGUGACGAGCGGCGGACGGGUGAGUAAUGUCUGGGAAACUGCCUGAUGGAGGGGAUAACU
RNAcentral lists this ribosomal RNA (155 nucleotides) under Klebsiella variicola. RNAcentral describes it as "partial 16S ribosomal RNA". It matches the Rfam family "Bacterial small subunit ribosomal RNA", at positions 1 to 148 of the family's 1533-position model. Lineage: Bacteria; Pseudomonadati; Pseudomonadota; Gammaproteobacteria; Enterobacterales; Enterobacteriaceae. The record is from RNAcentral.